This 804-nucleotide ribosomal RNA is filed under the name uncultured bacterium. RNAcentral's name for it is "bacterial SSU rRNA". It matches the Rfam family "Bacterial small subunit ribosomal RNA", at positions 649 to 1451 of the family's 1533-position model. The record is from RNAcentral.
CAGAAGGGGAGAGUGGAANUUCCAUGUGUAGCGGUGAAANGCGUAGAUAUAUGGAGGAACNCCAGUGGCGAAAGCGGCUCUCUGGUCUGUCACUGACGNUGAGGCUCGAAAGCGUGGGUAGCGAACAGGAUUAGAUACCCUGGUAGUCCACGCCGUAAACGAUGAGUGCUAGGUGUUAGGCCCUUUCCGGGGCUUAGUGCCGGAGCUAACGCAAUAAGCACUCCGCCUGGGGAGUACGACCGCAAGGUUGAAACUCAAAGGAAUUGACGGGGGCCCGCACAAGCGGUGGAGCAUGUGGUUUAAUUCGAAACAACGCGAAGAACCUUACCAGGUCUUGACAUCCCGAUGCUAUUCUUAGAGAUAGGAAGUUACUUCGGUACAUCGGAGACAGGUGGUGCAUGGUUGUCGUCAGCUCGUGUCGUGAGAUGUUGGGUUAAGUCCCGCAACGAGCGCAACCCUUAUUGUUAGUUGCCAUCAUUAAGUUGGGCACUCUAGCGAGACUGCCGGUAAUAAACCGGAGGAAGGUGGGGAUGACGUCAAAUCAUCAUGCCCCUUAUGACCUGGGCUACACACGUGCUACAAUGGUCGGUACAACGAGUUGCGAGCCGGUGACGGCAAGCUAAUCUCUGAAAGCCGAUCUCAGUUCGGAUUGGAGGCUGCAACUCGCCUCCAUGAAGUCGGAAUCGCUAGUAAUCGCGGAUCAGCACGCCGCGGUGAAUACGUUCCCGGGCCUUGUACACACCGCCCGUCACACCACGAGAGUUUGUAACACCCGAAGUCGGUGAGGUAACCUUUUAGGGNCCA